CAAAAAUCAUAUAGUUUUAUUGUUUUUCUGACCUUUCUUCCUUAAAACUUGAGCAUAAGUUGUGUCUCCAACUCCAGCAUCCGCACCUGAAGAAGGAGACUUUAUCAGUUCAGCAGAACCAGUGAGACGAAGAACAACAAGCAAACACUCGAUCCUACACACACACCAACGGCCAGAUAAAAAGAUGAAGCUGUUGAGACUGAAGAACAUGACAAACACACAGAUCUGUCCGAGUAGAAACCCUCAUGUGACUUUGAGACAGUAGUGAUGCUCAUCUCUCCUGUCGUCUGAUUCUGGAUCAGUGAUCCGUCUUUAUAG
Pimephales promelas (fathead minnow) is the source of this 318-nucleotide non-coding RNA. NCBI's taxonomy places the organism in Eukaryota, Metazoa, Chordata, Actinopteri, Cypriniformes, Leuciscidae. The record is from RefSeq and is a predicted model, not a curated record.